UGAGUAACCUGCCCUUAACUCUGGGAUAAGCCUGGGAAACUGGGUCCAAUACCGGAUAUGACUCCUCAUCGCAUGGUGGGGGGUGGAAAGCUUUAUUGUGGUUUUGGAUGGACUCGCGGCCUAUCAGCUUGUUGGUGAGGUAAUGGCUCACCAAGGCGACGACGGGUAGCCGGCCUGAGAGGGUGACCGGCCACACUGGGACUGAGACACGGCCCAGACCUCCGUACGGGGAGGCAG
This 237-nucleotide ribosomal RNA is filed under the name uncultured bacterium. RNAcentral's name for it is "partial 16S ribosomal RNA". It matches the Rfam family "Bacterial small subunit ribosomal RNA", at positions 118 to 351 of the family's 1533-position model. The record is from RNAcentral.